This 1767-nucleotide ribosomal RNA is filed under the name Triticum aestivum (bread wheat). RNAcentral's name for it is "partial small subunit ribosomal RNA". Lineage: Eukaryota; Viridiplantae; Streptophyta; Magnoliopsida; Poales; Poaceae. The record is from RNAcentral.
AUGGAAGGAUAUACGUGGAUCGGGAGUUUGCAGCUAGGAGACUAUAGCUAUUCCCAUUUCAGGGAGAUCGAUCUUGCCACGCGUUAUGUUAUAUCAAUGUACUUUGCCGUCGUCACCAUGACAACUGUUGGUUACGGUGACAUUCAUGCUGUAAAUGUUAGGGAAAUGAUAUUUGUCAUGAUUUAUGUUUCCUUUGAUAUGGUUCUUGGAGCUUACCUUAUCGGUAACAUGACUGCAAUGAUUGUGAAAGGCUCGGCAACCGAGCGAUUCAGGGAUAAAAUGAAAGAAGUUAUCAGGUAUAUGAACAGAAAUAGACUUGGAAAGGACAUCAGAGAGCAGAUCAAGGGACAUUUGAGGUUGCAGUAUGAGAGCAGCUGCACUGAAGCCUCUGUACUUCGGGAUAUUCCUGUUUCUAUUCGUGCAAAGAUUUCGCAAACACUGUACAUGCCAUACAUUGAAAAGACACCAUUGUUCAAAGGAUGUUCGGAAGAAUUCCUUCAACAGAUUGUGAUUAGGCUGCAAGAGGAGUUCUUCUUACCAGAAGAAGUUAUUUUGGAGCAAGGGAGUGCGGUUGACCAGUUAUACUUUGUCUGUCAGGGUGCACUGGAAGGUGCUGCCGUUGGUGAAGAUGGUCAAGAGACUAUUCUAAUGUUGGAGCAAGGGAAUUCUUUUGGAGAAAUUGCUAUUCUCUGCAAUAUUCCACAGCCCUACACUGUUCGUGUUUGCGAACUUUGCAGGCUCUUACGGUUGGAUAAAGAGUCCUUCGCACACAUAUUGGAGAUUUAUUUCACUGAUGGAAGAAAACUUUUGAGCAAUCUUACCGAGAGCAAUGAAUACGGCAAACGGGUUAAACACAUAGAAUCAGAUAUCACUUUCCAUAUAGGGAAGCAAGAGGAAGAGCUUACCUUAAGAGUUAAUAACGCCGCUUUUUAUGGCGACCUUCAUCAGUUGACUGGCUUAAUCCGAGCUGGAGCCAAUCCAAAGAACAGUGAUUACGAUGGGCGGUCUCCUUUGCAUCUUGCAGCUUCCAGAGGGUAUGAAGAUGUUGUGCAGUUCCUUAUCCAUCAAGGGGCUGAUAUCAAUCUGACCGAUAAAUUUGGGAACACGCCCUUACUAGAGGCGGUGAGGCAGGGGCAUGAUAGAGUGGCCACAUUACUCUUCAGCAAAGGAGCCAAGCUGAACCUCGAGAAUGCCGGUAGCCAUCUCUGCAUAGCAGUAUCGAAGGGAGACUCUGAUUUCAUUCGGGGAGCUCUAGCUUAUGGUGUAGACCCAAACUCGAAAGACUACGACCACCGCAAUCCUCUCCACAUAGCUGCUGCAGAGGGCUUGUAUAUUAUGGCGAAGUUGCUGGUAGAAGCUGGCGCAAGUGUCCUUGCAACAGACAGACGCGGUACUACUCCUCUGGAUGAAGGACACAAGUCCGGGAGUAAGCCAUUUAUAAUGCUGCUUGAACAGGCGAAAGCCGAUGAGCUCUCCAAGUUCCCCACACAAGGCGAAGAAGUGAGAGAUAAGAUGCAUACACGACGAUGCUCCGUGUUUCCUUACUAUCCAUGGGAUACUGAUGCCAAGCGAAAGGAAGGGGUGAUGCUGUGGAUUCCUCACACUAUCAACGAACUCAUCAGGUCAGCCCAGGAGAAACUGGGUUUGUCCAGCUCAUGCCUGCGCUUGCUCUGUCAGGAUGGCAUGACGGUCCAGGAUGUGGACAUGGUCAAUGACGGGCAGAAGCUCUAUCUGGUUGGAGACAAGGACACGGGUGACAGCGAGUAG